GCCUCGGUAGCUCAGCGGAUAGAGCAGGAGCCUUCUAAUCUCUUGGCCGUCGGUUCGAGUCCGACCCGGGGCACCA
Molecule: transfer RNA, 76 nt
Filed under: Bacillus sp. SRB_336
Lineage: Bacteria; Bacillati; Bacillota; Bacilli; Caryophanales; Bacillaceae
Description: tRNA-Arg
Rfam family: tRNA
About the family: Transfer RNA (tRNA) molecules are approximately 80 nucleotides in length.
Source: RNAcentral